Molecule: ribosomal RNA, 425 nt
Filed under: uncultured bacterium
Lineage: Bacteria
Description: bacterial SSU rRNA
Rfam family: Bacterial small subunit ribosomal RNA
Source: RNAcentral
GUGGGGAAUAUUGGACAAUGGGCGCAAGCCUGAUCCAGCAAUGCCGCGUGGGUGAAGAAGGUCUUCGGAUCGUAAAGCCCUUUCGACGGGGACGAUGAUGACGGUACCCGUAGAAGAAGCCCCGGCUAACUUCGUGCCAGCAGCCGCGGUAAUACGAAGGGGGCUAGCGUUGCUCGGAAUUACUGGGCGUAAAGGGCGCGUAGGCGGUCAUUUUAGUCAGGCGUGAAAUUCCCGGGCUUAACCUGGGGACUGCGCUUGAUACUGGGUGACUUGAGGGUGGAAGAGGGUCGUGGAAUUCCCAGUGUAGAGGUGAAAUUCGUAGAUAUUGGGAAGAACACCGGUGGCGAAGGCGGCGACCUGGUCCAUUACUGACGCUGAGGCGCGACAGCGUGGGGAGCAAACAGGAUUAGAAACCCGAGUAGUCC